CAGUAGCCGCGGGAAUACAGAGGGUGGGAGCGUUAAUCGGAUUUACUGGGCGUAAAGCGUGCGUAGGCGGCUUCUUAAGUCGGAUGUGAAAUCCCUGAGCUUAACUUAGGAAUUGCAUUCGAUACUGGGAAGCUAGAGUAUGGGAGAGGAUGGUAGAAUUCCAGGUGUAGCGGUGAAAUGCGUAGAGAUCUGGAGGAAUACCGAUGGCGAAGGCAGCCAUCUGGCCUAAUACUGACGCUGAGGUACGAAAGCAUGGGGAGCAAACAGGAUUAGAUACCCCUGUAGUCCCUGUCUCUUAUAC
Molecule: ribosomal RNA, 301 nt
Filed under: uncultured bacterium
Lineage: Bacteria
Description: partial 16S ribosomal RNA
Rfam family: Bacterial small subunit ribosomal RNA
Source: RNAcentral